UGCAGCGUCUUAUUUAAAAAAGAUUAUGAUUAGUAUUUUUAUUGUUAUUAGAUGAUAAAACAUGAAUAGUACUUUAUGUGUGACUAAAUUUUUUAAUAUUUUUUAUAAAUUUUUUAAAUAAGACGGAUAGUCAAAACGCUAAACACGAAUAUCUAUGGCUUCACUUA
RNAcentral lists this microRNA precursor (167 nucleotides) under Oryza sativa Japonica Group (Japanese rice). RNAcentral describes it as "MIR812 microRNA precursor family". It matches the Rfam family "MIR812 microRNA precursor family", at positions 39 to 203 of the family's 205-position model. Lineage: Eukaryota; Viridiplantae; Streptophyta; Magnoliopsida; Poales; Poaceae. The record is from Rfam by way of RNAcentral.